RNAcentral lists this ribosomal RNA (1058 nucleotides) under uncultured Bacteroidales bacterium. RNAcentral describes it as "bacterial SSU rRNA". It matches the Rfam family "Bacterial small subunit ribosomal RNA", at positions 32 to 1087 of the family's 1533-position model. The record is from RNAcentral. Lineage: Bacteria; Pseudomonadati; Bacteroidota; Bacteroidia; Bacteroidales.
UACGCUAGCUACAGGCUUAACACAUGCAAGUCGAGGGGCAGCACUAGGUAGCAAUACUGAGGUGGCGACCGGCGCACGGGUGCGUAACGCGUAUCCAACCUUCCCGUUACUCUUGGAUAGCCUUCCGAAAGGGAGAUUAAUACAAGAUGGUAUUCAAAUUCCGCAUGUUAUUUGAAUUAAAGAUUUAUUGGUAAUGGAUGGGGAUGCGUAACAUUAGGUAGUUGGUAAGGUAACGGCUCACCAAGCCUACGAUGUUUAGGGGUUCUGAGAGGAAGGUCCCCCACACUGGAACUGAGACACGGUCCAGACUCCUACGGGAGGCAGCAGUGAGGAAUAUUGGUCAAUGGACGAGAGUCUGAACCAGCCAAGUAGCGUGCAGGAUGACGGCCCUCUGGGUUGUAAACUGCUUUUAGUUGGGAAUAAAAGAUAGCACGUGUGCUAUGUAUUGUAUGUACCGUAUGAAUAAGCAUCGGCUAACUCCGUGCCAACAGCCGCGGUAAUACGGAGGAUGCGAGCGUUAUCCGGAUUUAUUGGGUUUAAAGGGAGCGUAGACGGGAGAUUAAGUCAGCCGUGAAAGUUUGAGGCCCAACCUUAAAAUUGCAGUUGAUACUGGUUUCCUUGAGUGCGGUUGAGGUGUAUGGAAUUCGUGGUGUAGCGGUGAAAUGCUUAGAUAUCACGAAGAACUCCGAUUGCGAAGGCAGUACACUAAGCCGUAACUGACGUUGAGGCUCGAAAGUGUGGGUAUCAAACAGGAUUAGAUACCCUGGUAGUCCACACGGUAAACGAUGAAUACUCGCUGUUGGCGAUAUACAGUCAGCGGCCAAGCGAAAGCAUUAAGUAUUCCACCUGGGGAGUACGCCGGCAACGGUGAAACUCAAAGGAAUUGACGGGGGCCCGCACAAGCGGAGGAACAUGUGGUUUAAUUCGAUGAUACGCGAGGAACCUUACCCGGGCUUAAAUUGCAGAGGACAGCUCAAGAGAUUGAGUCUUCUUCGGACCUCUGUGAAGGUGCUGCAUGGUUGUCGUCAGCUCGUGCCGUGAGGUGUCGGCUUAAGUGC